CUUUAGUUAGUAUACUUGUACAUUUACCUUCCAAGUAAAAAGUCUAUUUUGUAGCCUAAAGA
RNAcentral lists this transfer RNA (62 nucleotides) under Valvata hokkaidoensis. RNAcentral describes it as "tRNA-Gly". Lineage: Eukaryota; Metazoa; Mollusca; Gastropoda; Valvatidae. The record is from RNAcentral.